UACGGAGGGUGCAAGCGUUGUCCGGAUUUAUUGGGUUUAAAGGGCUCGUAGGUGGCCAACUAAGUCAGACGUGAAAUCCCUCGGCUUAACCGGGGAACUGCGUCUGAUACUGGAUGGCUUGAGUUCGGGAGAGGGAUGCGGAAUUCCAGGUGUAGCGGUGAAAUGCGUAGAUAUCUGGAGGAACACCGGUGGCGAAGGCGGCAUCCUGGACCGACACUGACACUGAGGAGCGAAAGCCAGGGGAGCAAACGGG
Molecule: ribosomal RNA, 253 nt
Filed under: uncultured bacterium
Lineage: Bacteria
Description: partial 16S ribosomal RNA
Rfam family: Bacterial small subunit ribosomal RNA
Source: RNAcentral